GUAGACGGCCAUCUUAGGCUGAAAGACACCAUAUCCCGUCUGCUCUGUGAGAGUUAAGCAGCCUCAAGCUCGGGUAGUACUCGGGUCGGUGUAGAGCGCGGACGCGGGGAAGUCCGGGUGCUGUCUACU
Ribosomal RNA from Phytophthora infestans T30-4, 129 nucleotides. NCBI's taxonomy places the organism in Eukaryota, Oomycota, Peronosporomycetes, Peronosporales, Peronosporaceae. The record is from Rfam.